CACUACUACAAAACAGUACAUAUGUGACGAGUCAUCAGUGACGGGCCUUUCACACCCGUCACUAAUGACCAUCAUCAAUCACGGGCCUACCUCGCCCGUCACUGAUGUCCCCUUAUCAGUAACGGGCGUCCAAUGCCCGUCACUCAUGACCACUCGUUAGUAAUGGGCGCGGGAGGCCCGUCACUAAAGGUUCAAUGUAAAAAAAAAAUGCAAAAAUCACAAAAACACACAUCAGUGGCGGGCUUUAAAUCUAGACCCGCCACUGAUGACCCUUAAAGAUUGAAAUGA
RNAcentral lists this long non-coding RNA (288 nucleotides) under Brachypodium distachyon (stiff brome). RNAcentral's name for it is "long non-coding RNA (BDIS_LNC002058)". The record is from RNAcentral. Lineage: Eukaryota; Viridiplantae; Streptophyta; Magnoliopsida; Poales; Poaceae.